This 254-nucleotide ribosomal RNA is filed under the name uncultured bacterium. RNAcentral describes it as "partial 16S ribosomal RNA". It matches the Rfam family "Bacterial small subunit ribosomal RNA", at positions 524 to 776 of the family's 1533-position model. The record is from RNAcentral.
GACGUAGGGCGCGAGCGUUGUCCGGAUUUAUUGGGCGUAAAGAGCUCGUAGGCGGUUUGGCAAGUCGGGUGUGAAAACUCCGGGCUCAACUCGGAGACGCCACUCGAUACUGCCAUGACUCGAGUCCGGUAGGGGAGUGCGGAAUUCCUGGUGUAGCGGUGAAAUGCGCAGAUAUCAGGAGGAACACCGGUGGCGAAGGCGGCACUCUGGGCCGGUACUGACGCUGAGGAGCGAAAGCGUGGGGAGCGAACAGG